RNAcentral lists this ribosomal RNA (253 nucleotides) under uncultured bacterium. RNAcentral's name for it is "partial 16S ribosomal RNA". It matches the Rfam family "Bacterial small subunit ribosomal RNA", at positions 524 to 776 of the family's 1533-position model. The record is from RNAcentral.
UACGGAGGGUGCAAGCGUUGUUCGGAAUCACUGGGCGUAAAGCGCGUGUAGGCGGUUGCGUAUGUCAGGUGUGAAAUCCCAUGGCUUAACCAUGGAAUUGCGCCUGAAACUGCGCGGCUAGAGUGUGGAAGAGGAAGGUGGAAGUCCUAGUGUAGAGGUGAAAUUCGUAGAUAUUAGGAGGAACACCGAUGGCGAAGGCAGCCUUCUGGUCCAUUACUGACGCUAAGACGCGAAAGCGUGGGGAGCAAACAGG